UUGGAGGGCAAGUCUGGUGCCAGCAGCCGCGGUAAUUCCAGCUCCAAUAGCGUAUAUUAAAGUUGUUGCAGUUAAAAAGCUCGUAGUUGAAUUUCGGGAUCAAUAUGUUGGUCGUGCCUUGGUACGUACUAUCUUAUUGGUUUCUCCCUUCUGACGAACCAUGAUGUCAUUAAUUUGGUGUCAUGGGGAAUCAGGAUUGUUACUUUGAAAAAAUUAGAGUGUUUAAAGCAGGCUCACGCUUGAAUAUAUUAGCAUGGAAUAACGGAAUAGGACGUUUGAUUCUAUUUUGUUGGUUUCUAGAAUCGACGUAAUGAUUAAUAGGGAUAGUUGGGGGCAUUAGUAUUCAAUUGUCAGAGGUGAAAUUCUUGGAUUUAUUGAAGACUAACUACUGCGAAAGCAUUUGCCAAGGAUGUUUUCAUUAAUCAAGAACGAAAGUUAGGGGAUCGAAGACGAUCAGAUACCGUCGUAGUCCUAACCAUAAACUAUGCCGACUAGGGAUCGGAUGAUGUUAUUUUUAAUGACUCAUUCGGCGCCUUACAGGAAACCAAAGUGUUUGGGUUC
This 561-nucleotide ribosomal RNA is filed under the name uncultured Glomeromycotina. Its description in RNAcentral is "SSU rRNA". It matches the Rfam family "Eukaryotic small subunit ribosomal RNA", at positions 548 to 1114 of the family's 1831-position model. Lineage: Eukaryota; Fungi; Glomeromycota. The record is from RNAcentral.